ACAAGUCACAUAAACUCAUCUCAAAUACCAAGGCCAAUCCAAUAGUCACAACAAAUAUAACUUUAUACAAUUCGCUGAGGCGUGCAACUCGAUCACACCAUAUCAUCAUCUGUCAAUAUCAUAAUCCCUCCUUAUUCUGCCAUUUCAAUUCAUUACCAUUCAAUUUCCGUUACGAUGUACAACCCGCUCCCCAAACAAUUUCAAUCAACAAUAACAAUUCAACAACCAAAAUUUAUAAGAAGUUCUACAUCAAAAGAGUAAAUGUACAAAGAAAUGGAGAAUAACAUAAUAAUCAAAGAAUCUCGAACAAAUCGAAUGUCUCAACUUUACCACUCCACUAUACCUAUCCAUUUAACAACUCAUACAAAUGAAACUACAUAAUUGAAGGCAAGAAAUGUUACGAAACUAUAAGACAAGAAAGACAUAAGACAAUCUAGAUAAGCAAGAAAAGCAAGUAGAGACAAGUAGCAAAUAAGUAUGAAAUUACGGAAGCGGCGGACAACAUAAUAUAAGGAUAGCUAAAUGACAAGUAACAAUUAUGGAAUGGAAGUCAAAUAAGCAUGUAGAUAUUAAGGCAUGUAACAAGAUAUUCUAUGAUGUAACAGAAAUAUGGAGCAGGUCACACAACGACGCCACUCGUCACCUUGCAUAUACGCCGUGUCACACGUAAUUCAAAUAACAUAAAUUUCAAGGGUCCCUAAUUCAUUCAAAUCAAGGUUAGACCUAACACUUACCUCACUCCACAACUUAAUCGAUCGAUCUAUCAUGGCCUUGCCAUUUGAACAAGACUCCAAACCAAUCAAAUCUAGCAAUUUACUAACUAGAUGAUUCAAAAUAAGCCUUAGAAACUACUCACGGAUAAAAGAGGUUCGAUUUAGGUCAUUUUUGAAAAAGUCAAUCCGGGCCCGCUUCGUCAAAAUCGAGAUUCAGACCAAAACCCAAUUAUCCAUUCACCCCCGAGCUCGGUUAUGUGAUUUGUUUUGAAUACGACCCUAAUUCGAGAACUAAAUCUCAAUUUAAUAAAAAUCCCUAAUUUUACCCAAAUCCUUAAUUUCUACCAUGAAAAUCCUAAAUUUGAUGUUGAAAUCUCAUGAAAUGUAAUGGGUAAUUGAAAAGAAAUUGAUUAAAGUCACUUACCAAUGAAUUUAGGAAGAAACGCCUCUUGGAAAAUAGCUUCUAGGGUGUUUAGGGUUGAGAGAUUGUGAGAAAUGAGCUAAGUCCCAUUUUUCUCCUUUUUUACCCAGCUGCGGAUGUUGCAAUUGCAAUUGUCACACCUCCUUUUUCACGGCCCGGAAGGGAUAUAAGGGAGUUUUUCCAAUUUAAGUGACAAUCAAAACGGAAUUAUUUAUAUUAAAAUCAGAGUCGCCACAUCGGAUAAUUUAUGGUGUCCCAAGUCACCGGUUUAAAAUCCCGAAUCGAGGAAGGUUGACUCUUAUUUAUGGUCUACGAACAUAGAAAUUCGGGAAAGGAAUUCUGUUAACCCAGGAGAAGGUGUUAGGCAUUCCCGGGAUCUGUGAUAUCAGCACGGUCGCUUUGAUCCUACUUGGCUUAAUCAAAUUAUCUUAUUACUCAUUUUAGAACCUAUGUGCGUUUACCUCUUAAUUAAGAAAUUAUCUUAAACUAGGUCCCGCGCACAUGUACCCAUUUAUUUGGUGCGUCAAAAAUCAUGUCACGCGAACGUGUCCACAAUUAAUAACGCUUUGUUAAUAUUAAGAAAUUUUAGUCAAAGUUGCGUAAACUCAUACUCCGAUUUUAUUUUUAAAAAUGUAAUUAUGUCACACGAACGUGUACAAAAUAUUAUCAAAACUUAUGGUGAGUUUAGCCAGGUCAUGCCGAAAACUAUCCAUGUACAGGAGAAAAGAGCACAUUCUGGAGUAUAAUUCGCCUCCAGCAAAUUUAUGAUUUGAGGAAUCCUUGCCAGACCAUUCUAACAUCAAUAAAUCAUCAAAGAUCCAAAUUUAAAAAGUAUCUCAUGGAGGCCAUAAUUUGCCCUCUUAAGCUACUGAAAAUUACUCUGCAGUAGAACCCACAGAAAAACAAGUAUAGAAGACAUUGUACAAUUCACGAUUAGUUAAUAAAUGAUAACAUUAUUUUUCUUAUCCUUUAAAGAAAAAUAUCUUUUGACUCAAUUAUAUGAAUUUAAGCAUAAUCAGAUGCUUGCCAAAACUGAAAAAUGACAUUUGAAGACCUUAUAUUAUCCGGAUGAUUAAAACAUAUGGACUGUGACUACGUAGAGAAAUCAACAAGGAACCUAGUAUUGACCUAGGCAUGUGCACUUGAAUGUAAUAGAACAUGAAGAUUUUUACCUUAAUGAAAAUUUAUAAUAAAUUAUCCAAACAAAAGAGAACAAGCUAAGGCUAUCACAAUAAUCUGAACAAAUUCCAAAAUAAAGAAAGAACAUUUGAAGACUUUAGGAAAAACUUAAGACCAUUCCAAACCACAAAAUCGACUCUUAACAUUAGCAAUUUUCCUUAACAAGAAAAACAAUAGUAAAAUAGAAAUAAAAUUCAAAAAAACAAAACUUCUGCAACUUACUAAAUCUUAGAGGAAAGGAGAGAAAACAGCACAUGGGAGAACCUAAAUGUCAUUUCAAAUCACAAAAUUGAAGUAAAAAUUAAAUUGAAAGCACUCAAAUCAAGGGAAAGAGUGAAAGCAGGGAAAGAAAAAUCAUAUUAACCCAUACUAUCUUUCGAGUUUAAGUGCACAGUCCCAGACCAAUUUCAUCAAUUAAAGACAAAAUCCAAUAACCCAAUAGAUUGAAAUUAUUGGUAAACUAUCUUUCUCUUAAUCAAGCCUAAUGAAUAUUGAUUAACGAACCCACAGUAAUUUCUAAAGCCAUUCAAAAAGAAACAAAGCAAUAUGAACAUCAACAUGAAUAAAUACUGACCAUUUCAAACAUUCAUGUACCACACAACUCCGUUUCAUCAAAAUUUACUGCACAGAAUUGAGAAGAAAGACGAGAGUAAGAAUCUGACCUCAAUUAUAUUAACAAGAAUUCAAUUACAACAAACUCUGACAAACUAAAUCUGGCCGGAAGAAGCAACAAUAGCAGGAGCUCGGACCGCAAACGGAGCUUCGACGGUGAACCUCGAGCAGAGCCCAAACCUCACGGCAAAACUAACUAUGAAAAUGCCUGCAACCUAGAACUGGUAUUUAGUGUUUGAAUAUAGGUUGCCUUUGCUGUAGCCCAGAACUGGUGUUUGACGUUGAAGCUCCGAAAUGGAGUUCUACCGGUGGAAAUGGCAAAGUUACUCAGAAAGGGUGGGGAGAUGGGCCUGAUGGCUGAGGAAGAUGGGUCGUUUGGGGUAAGGUGAAGGAUUGACGGAUCAGUGGUGAAGAGAUGUGGCUGGAGAUCUUAGGGGUGUUCAAGGUUUUCUGGUUUUGGGUGUGAAAGGUGAAGAAAAAGACGUCUGGGGGGGGGGGUCUAUGAAAAACGGCGGAUCCAGGUCUCUCUCGCAUCUAGGUCUAGGAAAUUAGGUCCUCUUAUGCUU
This 3491-nucleotide long non-coding RNA is filed under the name Nicotiana tabacum (common tobacco). Its description in RNAcentral is "long non-coding RNA (NTAB_LNC008908)". The record is from RNAcentral. Lineage: Eukaryota; Viridiplantae; Streptophyta; Magnoliopsida; Solanales; Solanaceae.